Molecule: ribosomal RNA, 396 nt
Filed under: uncultured bacterium
Lineage: Bacteria
Description: bacterial SSU rRNA
Rfam family: Bacterial small subunit ribosomal RNA
Source: RNAcentral
GACGAACGCUGGCGGCGCGCUUAAUACAUGCAAGUCGAGCGAGAACCGGUCCUUGGGACCGGGGACGAGCGGCGAACGGGUGAGUAACACGUGAGUAAUCCACCCUCGGCACCGGAAUAGCCCGGGGAAACCCGGAUUAAUGCCGGAUGGCCCAUCUGCCCUCGCGGGGCGGGCGUGGAAAAGGUAGCUUCGGCCUCCGGCCGAGGACGAGCUCGCGGCGGAUUAGCUUGUUGGUGGGGUAAAGGCCCACCAAGGCGACGAUCCGUAGCUGGUCUGAGAGGACGAUCAGCCACACUGGGACUGAGACACGGCCCAGACUCCUACGGGAGGCAGCAGUAGGGAAUCUUGCGCAAUGGGCGAAGCCUGACGCAGCGACGCCGCGUGAGGGAAGAAGGC